RNAcentral lists this long non-coding RNA (1448 nucleotides) under Homo sapiens (human). Its description in RNAcentral is "HSALNT0357565". The record is from RNAcentral. Lineage: Eukaryota; Metazoa; Chordata; Mammalia; Primates; Hominidae.
AACUUCAAUUUUAAUCUGGAUAACGCCAAAGCUUUUCCUCAAAUUCACCCCUGGAGUCAGCUCAUAGAUGCUCUGAUUUUGUCUACCAUUGCUCCUCCUUAAUAUCUCUCGCACAGGUGCCAUUGACCUUUAGAUGGGCUGUACGGUGUGGGGUUCGGUGCCAUGGAUCUGCUUCUCCAGGGACCAGGAUCUUGAGAUCUUCAGGCUGGGUUUCCAUGGAGGCAUGGAGCUGCUUUUCCUCCUUCAUAACUGCACUCAAAACAGCCCUGUUGCUCUAGAAUGGAGACUUGGGCAACUCCUUCUGGCACAGAUUUGUUCACCUCAGGUGAAAUUCAGAUAGAAGCAAGCUGCAGGCAGUUUCACCUCUAAGUCCAUGGGUUCUCAACUGGUAACGUCCUCUUAUGGAUGUUAGCCCAUGAGGUCAAUCCUGUAGCAAUCUAAGGCUUGAGAAAAAUUAAUCUUCUGGAAAAUUCCAAGAAUACAUCUUAGGGAAACUGGCUCUACCUUUAUGACUUGGAUCACACAAGGAUAUGCUUUUCAUCUUGGACUAGAACUGAGAGCCAAUGGAUGUGUUAUCUAAAACUAUCCCAGUGUGUUCACUAUACAGAGGAAGAUUCUGAGAUUCAAGACUCAAGACUGAAGAAGAUCAUUAUUUUUAUUAUUUUAGUCUUAUGCACAAAAUGAUAUCUACUGAAUAAGCAGGUUUUUAAUAGGUGACUUAUAUAUGUUAGCAAAAAUAAACACUUUGUCUUUUAGAUCUAUUCUAGUUUUUCAGUAGCUGUAGACUUAAGUGCUAACUUUUAGCCCAUAGGAUAAGAAGAAACCAAGUCCUAAAAGUAGGCCAGCACCAGGGUUCAGGCCUCUGACUUCAAGCCAAGGGCUCAUCAUCUUGAAUUGCGCACGAAUUUUUACACAGCGCCAAAGGAAACUGCCUGUACUUACUGUUGUAGGUGCUUUGCUGGAUUCAGGAUGCAGACAAGGUCCACGCAUUGUGGUUGGAACAAUGACUAGAUCUUUACCUGGUCCACAGCCCUCCCCAGUCUGGCUGCAACCUCUCAUGAGGCUGAGCUCACCAUGAACCCCUGCUCUAGGCGUCUGCAUAGUGUUCUGUUUGUCCCCGUGACUGUCCACCUCUUCUUUGGCCUGUUGGCAUGCGCUUAUCCUCCAGACCUCAGUCCAAAGUUCAGUCCCGGAGCAGACACAACCCUGUUUGCAGAGAGCCAACAUUCUAAUUGACAGUGCGUGGUGGGAAACAGUGAACCGAGGGAAAGAGUGCCAGUGUUAGAGAGCCACAGUGCAGUGAAGAAGAGAAGGCAAGAGGAUGUGAUGCAAAAUCACAGGACCUGGCUUCCAGACCAUUCUGCUUCCAUGAGAACAUUUCAGUUGAGAACCGGAUGGCAUGAAAUGUUUUCAGAGAUAAGAGUAUUACAUUGGAAACCUGUUGUGAC